Molecule: ribosomal RNA, 253 nt
Filed under: uncultured bacterium
Lineage: Bacteria
Description: partial 16S ribosomal RNA
Rfam family: Bacterial small subunit ribosomal RNA
Source: RNAcentral
UACAGAGGGUGCAAGCGUUGUUCGGAAUUACUGGGCGUAAAGCGCGUGUAGGUGGCGAUGUAAGUCGGAUGUGAAAUCCCUCGGCUUAACCGAGGAAGUGCAUUCGAUACUGUGUCGCUUGAGUAUCGGAGGGGUCGGCGGAAUUCCCGGUGUAGAGGUGAAAUUCGUAGAUAUCGGGAGGAACACCUGUGGCGAAGGCGGCCGACUGGACGAUCACUGACACUGAGACGCGAAAGCGUGGGUAGCAAACAGG